This 707-nucleotide ribosomal RNA is filed under the name uncultured bacterium. RNAcentral describes it as "bacterial SSU rRNA". It matches the Rfam family "Bacterial small subunit ribosomal RNA", at positions 134 to 852 of the family's 1533-position model. The record is from RNAcentral.
UACAACGGGAUACCCGAGGGAAACUUCGGUUAAUACGGUAUAAGACCACACUACCGCAUGGUAGAGGGGUAAAAGGGGCAACCUGGUAUGAGAUGGACUCGCGUCGCAUUAGCUAGUUGGUGAGGUAACGGCCCACCAAGGCGACGAUGCGUAGCCGACCUGAGAGGGUGAUCGGCCACAUUGGGACUGAGAUACGGCCCAGACUCCUACGGGAGGCAGCAGUGGGGAAUAUUGGGCAAUGGAGGAAACUCUGACCCAGCAAUGCCGCGUGAAUGAAGAAGGUCUUCGGAUUGUAAAGUUCUUUAGUCAGGGAAGAAGUCAAUGACGGUACCUGAAGAAUAAGCUCCGGCUAACUACGUGCCAGCAGCCGCGGUAAUACGUAGGGAGCAAGCGUUGUUCGGAAUGACUGGGCGUAAAGGGUGCGUAGGCGGUUGUACAAGUUAGAAGUGAAAUACCCAGGGCUUAACUCGGGUGCUGCUUCUAAAACUGUAUGACUUGAGUGCAGUAGAGGUUAGUGGAAUUCCUAGUGUAGCGGUGGAAUGCGUAGAUAUUAGGAGGAACACCAGAGGCGAAGGCGGCUAACUGGACUGCAACUGACGCUGAGGCACGAAAGUGUGGGGAGCAAACAGGAUUCUAUACCCUGGUAGUCCACACUGUAAACGAUGGAUACUAGAUGUAGGAGGUAUCGACUCCUUCUGCGUCGCAGU